This 279-nucleotide ribosomal RNA is filed under the name uncultured Eubacteriales bacterium. Its description in RNAcentral is "uncultured Clostridiales bacterium partial 16S ribosomal RNA". It matches the Rfam family "Bacterial small subunit ribosomal RNA", at positions 64 to 339 of the family's 1533-position model. Lineage: Bacteria; Bacillati; Bacillota; Clostridia; Eubacteriales. The record is from RNAcentral.
UUAUGAUUUCUUCGGAAUGACGAUUUAGUGACUGAGUGGCGGACGGGUGAGUAACGCGUGGGUAACCUGCCUUGUACUGGGGGACAACAGUUGGAAACGACUGCUAAUACCGCAUAAGCGCACAGCUUCGCAUGAAGCAGUGUGAAAAACUCCGGUGGUAUGGGAUGGGCCCGCGUCUGAUUAGGCAGUUGGCGGGGUAACGGCCCACCAAACCGACGAUCAGUAGCCGGUCUGAGAGGAUGAACGGCCACACUGGAACUGAGACACGGUCCAGACUCC